This 468-nucleotide ribosomal RNA is filed under the name uncultured bacterium. Its description in RNAcentral is "partial 16S ribosomal RNA". It matches the Rfam family "Bacterial small subunit ribosomal RNA", at positions 28 to 507 of the family's 1533-position model. The record is from RNAcentral.
GACGAACGCUGGCGGCGUGCUUAACACAUGCAAGUCGAACGGAAAGGCCCUGCUUUUGUGGGGUGCUCGAGUGGCGAACGGGUGAGUAACACGUGAGUAACCUGCCCUUGACUUUGGGAUAACUCCAGGAAACUGGGGCUAAUACCGGAUAGGAGCUCCUGCUGCAUGGUGGGGGUUGGUAAGUUUCGGCGGUUGGGGAUGGACUAGCGGGUUAUCAGCUUGUUGGUGGGGUAGUGGCUUACCAAGGCUUUGACGGGUAGCCGGCCUGGGAGGGUGACCGGCCACAUUGGGACUGAGAUACGGCCCAGACUCCUACGGGAGGCAGCAGGGGGGAAUAUUGCACAAUGGGCGGAAGCCUGAUGCAGCAACGCCGCGUGCGGGAUGACGGCCUUCGGGUUGUAAACCGCUUUCGCCUGUGACGAAGCGUGAGUGACGGUAAUGGGUAAAGAAGCACCGGCUAACUACGUG